This 1074-nucleotide unclassified non-coding RNA is filed under the name Orbicella faveolata. RNAcentral describes it as "heparanase-like, transcript variant X2". The record is from RNAcentral. Lineage: Eukaryota; Metazoa; Cnidaria; Anthozoa; Scleractinia; Merulinidae.
UUCCUGUGCAUAGGGGUUGGACUGGGGAGAACCUUAAUUUACAUGGAACGCCUAGCGAAAAACGCGCAUGCAUUAUGCGCUAGAACCUGAGUCGUGCAUGUCUUUACACGUUUUUGUUCAUUGCACUGUCAUUGACCCGAAACCGAAAGACAGCGGCGAGUAUUAGCGACCUCAAGAUACUACCAAGUGAUAUUUCGGAAUUGUGAACAUGGCUCCCCAAGUAAACAUAUUUGCGGGUUCAUUAAUCGUUUUGAUGAUGUUAUUUUGUGGAUAUCCAGUACUCUUGCAAUCCCAUUACGUCGGUUUUAGCAAGGACAACUACGUCGCACAGAAUGUUUCGAUAAAUUUGGAUCGUUCCGUGUUUACCGUCAGUGAAAAGUUUCUCUCCGUUGCGAUCGACUCUAACAUUAUGAGGCAUCACUGGCCUCACGUGAAUUUCACUUCCGAGAGAUUGUUUAACCUUGCCAGGGGACUUUCUCCAGCAUUUCUCCGCAUUGGUGGAACGGCUGGGGAUUUUCUGAUCUAUGAUGAUUCCCAAGGGCUCCAAAAGCCCAAGAAUGUUAGUAAUUUUACAAUCACCCAUCAAGAUUUGGACAAGAUUCACUUGUUAUCCUCCAAAGCAGGUUGGGAUGUCAUGUUUGGGUUGAAUGUGCUUCUAAGGACACAAGAUGGCUCUUGGGAUGCAAGCAACCCCAAAGAAAUAAUGCAAUAUGUUGCUGAACAUGGCUAUAAUUUUGGAUGGGAGCUUGGAAAUGAACCAAAUCUUUUUGUUGAUUUCGGUAAGUCAGUUUCUCCAGAGGAACUUGCAGAAGACUUUCAUACUUUAAGAGCAAUUCUGCAGAGCAGCCCUCAAUUUGGAAAUUAUCUUGUUGGCCCUGAUGUAACAACAGUAUCAAAUCACUCCAAGUCAGCCAACUUUUUUGAGAGAUUAGGGAAGGAUCUCAAACCACCACCAGAUUAGCUGCUUGACCAUAAUUUAUGAAAUUUCUCAUGUGUUGGUGAUUGAGGCUCAUGAGUGUCCAGCUUUGUUUCACAUGCCAAGGAUGUCAUAGAUGCAGUAACAUGGCACCAGUA